ACUACACAGUGUGAAUUUAUUCAAACUUACCUAUGUUUUGACCAUUGUCAAUUCAGCAUAAGAGAAAUAAAUCUGAAACAUUUUCUUUCAGUGAAAGCAGAGGAAGUCUCAUUUUGAAACAGUAUCAGUACUUUCUACAGUUUUCCCCAAAGUACUACUAUUUACCACAAAAUUAGAUCCCAAAGGCUGAAGGGGAGCUUUGAUACAGUAUUAACUCCAACCCUUGUGCGCUUCCCUGCCCCACCCCCUACAUUCAGCUGCCCAGAGACAACAACAAAGACCAUCUACCUCCUACUGUUUCUUUUUUGCAUUUUGGUUCUUAAAAAAUAAGUCAGUGGGUUAAUAUACACUUUUUUUGGGUGCUGACAUUUGCAGCUAAAUAAGACAAUGUAUCAGAAUUACAUCAGCUUUAUUUAAAUG
This 420-nucleotide long non-coding RNA is filed under the name Bos taurus (domestic cattle). RNAcentral describes it as "long non-coding RNA NONBTAT017252". Lineage: Eukaryota; Metazoa; Chordata; Mammalia; Artiodactyla; Bovidae. The record is from RNAcentral.